Long non-coding RNA from Xenia sp. Carnegie-2017, 411 nucleotides. RefSeq lists it as uncharacterized. NCBI's taxonomy places the organism in Eukaryota, Metazoa, Cnidaria, Anthozoa, Malacalcyonacea, Xeniidae. The transcript is spliced from 2 exons. The record is from RefSeq and is a predicted model, not a curated record.
AUGAUGAUGGGCCCCAUUGUUAUAUGAACUCACCUGGAAGUGGUCAGCUGACAUUCAUAGAAGAUCAAAUCUGCACUAAGCAUUCUUUGAGUGAUGAUAUAACUGGGGUUUUGAAGUGAGCCCUUUCCUUCGCUUGAAAUUACCAUUAGAGUGCAUUGUAAACAGUAAUCUAUCGAAAUGGCGAUUCAUAAUACGAGUAGCCCUUUUAUUGGUUACGUCGAUUAAUUUGUGUAUGGAAUGGUAUAAACAUAUUGAAUGGACAUUGCAUAACGGCAUUUGUACGUGUGAACAUUAACAUUGAGGUGAUUGGACUAUAAUCUACGAAGAUGGAAAACAAGCGAGUGGAAAAACAUGAUCUAUGUCUUGUGGUGAAUGAUCAGGUCGAACGUACUGAAUGAAUUUUUCAUAUGA